Long non-coding RNA from Equus caballus (horse), 2462 nucleotides. The record is from Ensembl. NCBI's taxonomy places the organism in Eukaryota, Metazoa, Chordata, Mammalia, Perissodactyla, Equidae.
GAUUCCAUAGCAAGAAAACAGCAUGUGCUAUUGGUUUGGGGGUUGGCAGCAGGUGGAAUCAGAAGUGUCUUGAGGAGAGUGUUAGUGAAAUAGCCCAAAAGCCAAUGAGGAGGCUGUUGGUGAAGGUUUUAAGGAAAAUGAAGGAAAUGUUAUUGGAAGCUGAAAGAACUGGGACUCAUCAUGCAGUGGUAGAAGUGUUGGCAACCUGUCUUCUGCAGUAAAUGUGGUAAACAGGAAAUGAAUCUAACAAACUCAAUGAUCGAGGAGAAUAUCGAAAAUUCCACCUAGCCACUUCUUGCCAGCUAAGAUAAAAAUGCAAGAGAAGGGAGAGUACAGUUCCCAGGUCUUCAGAUUAGCAGAACUAUGCUCAAGGAGUUGUCUCCAAGGAGCCUCACCUGCACCUAGGCCUGCUUUAGCUGAUGAAACUCUGGGCUUUGAGCCUGAGACCAAUUCUGCAACGGGAUAAAGCAUUUCGGGUCUUGAAAGAUGGUGAGUAUACUUUACAUGUGGGGAGAAUGUAAGCAAUUUGUGACCAGAGGCAUGCUGUGGCAGUUUAAAAGCAUGACUCCAAAAUGCUUUAUUACUCCUCCCAUUGAGAAGGAGGUUUAUGUUUUUUUCUCCUUAAAUUCAGGCUCUUCGAUAGCUUGACCAAAAGUAAAUGGCUGAAGCGAUUCUCCACCAGUUUCUGGAGCCAGGGCAUUAAAAAUGGUGGAUUUGAGUUCUUGUAUUUCGUGAUUGCCCCUGGGACCUAACUACCACGCUGUGAGAAGAGAAGACCCAGCAGCCCGUGGGGAGGCCCAUAUAAGAGGAAGCCAAGCCCUCAGCCAUCAAUCAGCACUAAUUUCCUAGUGCUGUGAGUGACCUGCUUUGGAAGUAGAUCCUGCAGUCCACAAAUGUUUAUGGUGUGGAGAAGUGAAGAACUGAUCUUGCUGAGUCCUGCUCAAAUUGCAUGGGCAAGGACUCUGGUGUACUCUGAUGUGCCUGCACAUUAAAACAGCAUGAAGCUACUGCGGUGGGUAUACAGAGAGCGGAAGAUUAGCCCUGAGCUAACAUCCCUGCCCAUCCUCCUCUACCCUAUAUGUAGGACGCCUACCACAGCAUGGCUUGACAAGCAGUGCCCAGGUCUGCACCCGGGACCCGAACUGGUGAACCCUGGGCCACCAAAGCAGAAUUAUGUGAAUGUAACUGCUGUGCCACCAGGCCGGCCCCUGUGUGUGUCUUUUUCUUAAUCAUUGUUAUGUUUUGAAACGUCUUGACUUUUCCAUGAUCAGUUACAUAUUAAAUUAUAUUUUCUUUCCAUAAUGUUUUAUGGUGUCUCUCUUUCACAUUUCACUUUUAAUUCAACUGGAACUUAUUUUAUCAUGUGUUGAGGUGAACAAUUGACUUGAUUUUUUUUCUUAACUCCCAGGUAGCCAUUUUUCUCUACAUAAUAGCUUAAAUAGCUAACAUCAUAUAUUGGCAUAUGUGUACACUUUAACACAUGCUCAGUUUGUAUGUAGAUUUCUUCUCAGAGCUGUCUGUUCUGCUACACUGAUCUAUCAUUUAUUGUGCCAGUUCCACAUCUUUAAUUACUAUAGACUUAUGAUGUUAUUUAAGAGCUGACAAUGCAUGUACCGUCUUAUUCAUCUUUGUUUUUAACACUCUUAUUUAUUUCCCUCCUUUAAUUCAUCAAAAUGGACUUUAGAACCCUAAUUUUUAUGUUUUCUUAAAAUCUCAUCAUGUUUUCUAUCAUAGUAUAAUUAAAACCUAUAAAUUGUGCAGGAAAAAUUCUUUUUACAUUAGUCAGUUUUUAUAUCCAGGAAUAUUGAAGAGACCUCAAUUUAUUCAACUUCUUAUGGCUUUUACAAGCAAUUUUAGAGAUGUAUUUUUAUAGUCCUAUACAAUCUGUGUAAAUUAUACUAUUCUAUAUAUAAAUUACAUAUGUAUUUAAUAAUUAUAAUAAUAGAAUUCUUAUUCAUUUUAGUCUACUUAUUGUGGCAAAAACUGAAAAACAAAAAUGUGUUUAUCGCUCUAUAAUUUUGUUUCUCUAGGCUUCUCUUUAUACUUUUAGAUGUUUUACCAUUGUAAGUUUAGAUAUAUCACAUGAAGACUCAUGAUUAUUAAACUCCUAAUAUGGAUCCAGUUUUUUUGGUAAUAUGACAGUAUUUUAUGUUUCUCCUUUUCUUAAAUACUUACAAAAAGAAUAAAUAUAUCUACCCUCAUUAUCAAAACGUUGAGCUCAAUUUCUGAAAUUUUGGGCAAUUUCUUUCUAGUUUCCUUUCUGUUACUAAACAGAUUGUAUUUUAUUUGUCUUAAGUUUCACAGUUAUUUUGGGUGGUAAAAUAUUAUUUUAAAUUCUUAGAGCAGUUCCCUUUGUUUAUUAAAUAAAUACAUCAGUCGUUCUCCACUAUAGAAAUGGUUUCGUGGGUUUGUGUUGUAUUGUGUUGUUGAGUUGUUCCCUAUAAUAUCACCAAUUCUACUGC